GGAAAACAGAUUCAAGACAUUACUGUAUCACUCGAGAAGAAGCUGAAGUCUAACAGGAUCUGCUGUGUGCCCAAAUGUCACACCACUGGCUAAGGAUUGUUAGAAGGCUAUGGAAAGCCCAGCUAUCAUGCAUUUCCAGCUGAAGAUGAUCCAGUUCAAGCUGUUUGGUUGAAUAAAAUACGAAGAGAUGAAGACAGACAUUUUAAGAUAAGUCACAAUACGGUUGUCUGUUUUCUCCAUUUUGAACGUGACUGUCUUGAUGAAUCUGGAUUUGCUAAGCAGAGGUAUCUAAAACCAGGAGCCAUCCCUACACUAUUCGACUGCUGGAAGGACAAACCACAUCUGUUGAAGCGAAUUCAAGUGGAACGUGCAAUUAACAAGAUUAAAAGUUUUCACAUAUUUGAUCAGGUCAUUCUGGUUUCUCUGUUUGGGAUAAUUAAUCAAAUUUGGACAGUUUGCUCAUAGCUCACUCUUUUCCAAGACCCAAUUAUACCAUGUCCUGGUGUUUAACAUACAUACCAUUUAUAUGAACAUUUGUUGUUCGUGUACAUCAUACUACAUGUAGGCUAGUGAAAAACCAUUGGCUGUUCAUGUAAUAUUUGUACAUUUUUUGGCUUUGUAUAAAGUUUUUGAUAAUUAUCUUGAUAUAAGCAUUGAUUUAGUUACAGAUUAAUGCUUAAAGAGUACUUAAAGCUACACACCUUGAAAUAAAGUACAUGUUCAUAUAGAUGCAAUUUGAAAGUGUGCAAAAUUUUCAUUAAAUCUAUAGUCUAGUUAGCAAGUAAUUUAUUAUUUUUCAAACAGGAAUAACUGCUUUUAAAACUGAAAGAAGGAUUUCUAUAUUAAACACGAUUAUUUUUAACUUUUUGAAGCGCAAAAAAAGAUGGCUUUCUACCUUGUUACCACCAGAUAUAUUCUAGUUGGCAUAAUAAAAUUAAAUCUAUAGCCUAGUUUAAUAGCAAGUUAUUUUUUUUUCAAACAGUACUGCUUUUAAAACUGAAAGUAGGAUUUCCAGACGUACACAUCCAUUUCGACAAACACGAUUAUUUUUAAGUUGUAAAGUGCAAAAAAGAUGGAUUUCUACCUUGUAACCACCAGAUAUAUUCUAAUUGGCAUAGAUAAAAUAUGUCACUCAUACUUAAAUUUACUAUGCCAAAUAAGGUGUGUGGCCUUUACAUAAAAAUUGUAUAUACAUCUUUUUAAUCAUGUUUGUUAAUUUGUUUUGAUUGUAUGACUACUGAAUAAAUAAUUUUGUUAAUAGAAAUUUUAGUUUUUUUUGGGAAAUAUUAGGUAAAACUAAGAAAGUCCAAUGCAUAUUGAGACAAAUCAGUACUUAAGUUCGUUUCCUGGGAAGAACCAUUACUGAUUCUCAAUGGGGAUCGAAACUGGUUGCUCCAGAUUGCUUAGCAGACACCAUAGCAACUAUUUCACUAAGACUCUGCUACAGAUUUGCGUAAUCCUUUGAGUGAAAACACUUUGUAAUCAAUGAUAUAAGCUUUAUUACAACAGAAAUAAUGCAAGAUAAGCACAUUUGAGUAGCAUAGUUCAUCACAAAACAGUAUGAAGUAUCAUUAAUUGUAAGAUUAAUGAUGAAAGACAACAUGUGAAAGCUAGAAAUCAUAAACUAAUUUAAGGAAACACAAUCUGAAAAUUACAAACAUUCAGAUACAGGUAUUGCACCAAAAUGAGCUGAGAUCCUAUGAUUAUAUUGAAUGAAUAAAUGUGAUUUGAGGUGAAUCUCACAAAUACUGACACUAAAAUAACACAAAAUUGAAUACUUUCAAAUAUAAUUUAGAUUAUUUCAAUACUCUUUAUUUCUGAUUACCGGUUUUUCAUGGAGCGGAAACACUUGCAUCUAACAAUUGUUGAACUGUUACGUUCAGAUGUCCAUGUGUCGAAUACAUAA
Dreissena polymorpha is the source of this 1906-nucleotide long non-coding RNA. RefSeq lists it as uncharacterized. The record is from RefSeq and is a predicted model, not a curated record. Lineage: Eukaryota; Metazoa; Mollusca; Bivalvia; Myida; Dreissenidae. The transcript is spliced from 3 exons.